Molecule: ribosomal RNA, 447 nt
Filed under: uncultured bacterium
Lineage: Bacteria
Description: bacterial SSU rRNA
Rfam family: Bacterial small subunit ribosomal RNA
Source: RNAcentral
UGGGGAAUAUUGGACAAUGGGCGCAAGCCUGAUCCAGCCAUGCCGCGUGAGUGAAGAAGGCCUUAGGGUUGUAAAACUCUUUCGCCGGGGAAGAUAAUGACGGUACCCGGAGAAGAAGCUCCGGCUAACUUCGUGCCAGCAGCCGCGGUAAUACGAAGGGAGCUAGCGUUGUUCGGAAUUACUGGGCGUAAAGCGCACGUAGGCGGACUUGUCAGUCAGGGGUGAAAUCCCAAGGUUCAACCUUGGAACUGCCUCCGAUACAGCAAGCCUAGAGAUCGGGAGAGGUGAGUGGAAUUCCUAGUGUAGAGGUGAAAUUCGUAGAUAUUAGGAAGAACACCAGUGGCGCAGGCGGCUCACUGGCCCGAUACUGACGCUGAGGUGCGAAAGCGUGGGGAGCAAACAGGAUUAGAUACCCUAGUAGUCCCUGAGCGGGCUGGCAAGGCGCAU